UACAGAGAGUGCAAACGUUGUUCGGAAUUACUGGGCUUAAAGCGCGCGUAGGCGGCAUUGUAAGUGUCUGGUGAAAUCCCACGGCUCACCCGUGGAACUGCCGGGCAUACUGCGGUGCUAGAGUGUGGUAGGGGAGAGCGGAACUCCUGGUGGAGCGGUGAAAUGCGUAGAUAUCAGGAGGAACACCGGUGGCGAAGGCGGCUCUCUGGUCCAUAACUGACGCUGAGGUGCGAAAGCUAGGGGAGCAAACGGG
RNAcentral lists this ribosomal RNA (253 nucleotides) under uncultured bacterium. RNAcentral's name for it is "partial 16S ribosomal RNA". It matches the Rfam family "Bacterial small subunit ribosomal RNA", at positions 524 to 776 of the family's 1533-position model. The record is from RNAcentral.